AUGGGACUCAGUGUGGACACCCCUUUCUUCACAUUAGAACUGGAGCAUGGUGGACUAUUCUGUGGACCAAUAAAUAACAUGGAGUACUAUAAUCCUUCAGUGGAGGUGCUUGACUAUGUUGAUGCUGGUACAUUCUCAUAUGCAGUCAUUGAAGAGCACCUGCUAUGGUUGGGAUAUCCUGUCAAUGAUCACAUCAUUUAUUGGUGCAUGCCUGACAAAACAGUUUCAGAUGGUAUGCUCAGAAUCAGAGGUGAUGAGGAUGUGAAGCAAAUGAUAACAGCCAGUGCUCAGCAUAAGGUUCUUGCAAUCAUGGUUGAUCAUUCAGAUUUCAUCAGUAAUUUCAGGCAAGAGUUGAUAUGUACAGUGGGAGCAGUAGAGAAUCCUGUCAGAGUGGUAAACCCAAAUGGUGUUGCAGCCAGUGCAGCUAGUUCUCACAGCAUCAUUUCAGUCAAUGCUGAAGAUCCAAUUUCAGAGUUUGCAGCACAUGAGACAGAAGCAGACAACUUGCUGGCUAAUGUUGUAGAAGAAGAGCAUUUGCUGACUGAUGUUGCACAAGGAGAGCACUUGCUGACUGAUGUUGCACAAGGAGAGCACUUGCUGUUUGAUGUUGAAGUAGAAGAGCAUUUGCUGACUGAUUUUGCUGAAGAAGAUCACUUGCUGACUGAUUUUGCCGAAGAAGGUCACUUGCUGACUGACGUUGCAGAAGAUGUAGUGCUUUCAGAUUCAUAUUUCAGUGACCGUGAUUAUGACAUAAAUGAUGGAGAUGAUGAUCUUUAUGAAGAGAACAUUGACUUUGAUGUUGAUGAAGAAGCUGAGCAAAAGGAGGAAGAGGCGGAACCUGACUAUGUACUUGAUGACGAAGAUUUGAAUCUGUCAAGAGAAGAAGAAGAGCAACUGAUGUACAAGUUCAAAGCUUUCAAUUCCAAGGUGGACAUGAAAAACCCUAAGUAA
RNAcentral lists this ribosomal RNA (951 nucleotides) under Triticum aestivum (bread wheat). RNAcentral's name for it is "partial small subunit ribosomal RNA". Lineage: Eukaryota; Viridiplantae; Streptophyta; Magnoliopsida; Poales; Poaceae. The record is from RNAcentral.